Pelobates cultripes (western spadefoot toad) is the source of this 594-nucleotide non-coding RNA. The record is from the annotation of a GenBank genome assembly. NCBI's taxonomy places the organism in Eukaryota, Metazoa, Chordata, Amphibia, Anura, Pelobatidae.
GACAGAUCGAUAGAUAGAAAGAAAGAUAAAUAGAUAAAUAGAUAGACAAACAGACAGACCGAUAGUCAGAAAGAAAGAUAUAUAGAUAGACAGACAGAUUGACAGACAGACAGAUAAAUAGAUAGACAGACAUAUCGAUAGAUAGAUAAAUAGAUAGACAGAAAGACAAAUAAAUAGAUAGACAGACAGGUUGAUAGACAGACAGACAAAUAGAUAGACAGACAGACAGAUCGAUCGAUAGAUAGAUAGAUCAAUAGACAGACAGAUUUAUAGACAGACAGACAUAUCGAUAGAUAGACAGAUUACUAGACAGACAUAUUGAUAGACAGACAGACAUGUCGAUAGAUAGCCAGACAGAUUGAUAGACAGAAAGACAAAUAAACAGAGAGACAGAUAGGUUGAUAGACAUACAGACAGAUAAAUAGACAGACAGACAUAUUGAUAGAUAGACAGACAAAUUGAUAGACAGACAGACAUAUCGAUAGACAGACAGACAGAUUGAUAGAGAGAAAGACAGAUAAAUAGAUAGACAGGUUGAUAGACAGACAGACAUAUCGAUAGACAGACAGACAGACAGACAAAUAGAAAGACAGA